This 399-nucleotide ribosomal RNA is filed under the name uncultured bacterium. Its description in RNAcentral is "bacterial SSU rRNA". It matches the Rfam family "Bacterial small subunit ribosomal RNA", at positions 358 to 774 of the family's 1533-position model. The record is from RNAcentral.
GGAAUAUUGGACAAUGGGGGAAACCCUGAUCCAGCAAUGCCGCGUGAGUGAAGAAGGCCUUCGGGUUGUAAAACUCUUUCAGUUGGGAAGAUAAUGACUGUACCAACAGAAGAAGCACCGGCUAACUUCGUGCCAGCAGCCGCGGUAAUACGAAGGGUGCUAGCGUUGUUCGGAAUCACUGGGCGUAAAGAGCGCGUAGGCGGAAAAUUAAGUUAGACGUGAAAGCCCUGGGCUUAACCUAGGAUGUGCGUUUAAGACUGGUUUUCUUGAGGUAAGAAGGGGAGAGUGGAAUUCCUAGUGUAGAGGUGAAAUUCGUAGAUAUUAGGAGGAACACCAGUGGCGAAGGCGACUCUCUGGUCUUUACCUGACGCUGAGGCGCGAAAGCGUGGGGAGCAAACA